RNAcentral lists this ribosomal RNA (138 nucleotides) under Plasmopara densa. Its description in RNAcentral is "partial 5.8S ribosomal RNA". It matches the Rfam family "5.8S ribosomal RNA", at positions 1 to 133 of the family's 154-position model. From Rfam's summary of the family: 5.8S ribosomal RNA (5.8S rRNA) is a component of the large subunit of the eukaryotic ribosome. It is transcribed by RNA polymerase I as part of the 45S precursor that also contains 18S and 28S rRNA. The record is from RNAcentral. Lineage: Eukaryota; Oomycota; Peronosporomycetes; Peronosporales; Peronosporaceae.
UAGCAACUUUCAGCAGUGGAUGUCUAGGCUCGCACAUCGAUGAAGAACGCUGCGAACUGCGAUACGUAAUGCGAAUUGCAAGAUUCAGUGAGUCAUCGAAAUUUUGAACGCAUAUUGCACUUCCGGGCUAGUCUUGGA